CCCUUAGAUGUUCUGGGCUGCACGCGCGCUACACUGAUGCACUCAACGAGUUUACGACCUUGCCCGAUAGGGUUGGGUAAUCUUUUUAAAAUGCAUCGUGAUGGGGAUAGAUUAUUGCAAUUAUUAAUCUUCAACGAGGAAUUCCUAGUAAGUGCAAGUCAUCAGCUUGCGCUGAUUACGUCCCUGCCCUUUGUACACACCGCCCGUCGCUACUACCGAUUGAAUGGUUUAGUGAGAUCUUUGGAUUGGCGCUGUGGGGGUGGCAACGCUCCUUCAGAUUGCUGAGAAAUUGCUCAAACUUGAUCAUUUAGAGGAAGUAAAAGUCGUAACA
This 331-nucleotide ribosomal RNA is filed under the name uncultured eukaryote. RNAcentral's name for it is "partial 18S ribosomal RNA". It matches the Rfam family "Eukaryotic small subunit ribosomal RNA", at positions 1470 to 1796 of the family's 1831-position model. The record is from RNAcentral.